RNAcentral lists this ribosomal RNA (419 nucleotides) under uncultured bacterium. Its description in RNAcentral is "bacterial SSU rRNA". It matches the Rfam family "Bacterial small subunit ribosomal RNA", at positions 355 to 787 of the family's 1533-position model. The record is from RNAcentral.
UGGGGAGUAUUGCACAAUGGGGGAGGACCCUGAUGCAGCGACGCCGCGUGAGUGAAGAAGUAAUUCGUUAUGUAAAGCUCUAUCAGCAGGGAAGAAGAAGUGACGGUACCUGAGUAAGAAGCCCCGGCUAACUACGUGCCAGCAGCCGCGGUAAUACGUAGGGGGCAAGCGUUAUCCGGAUUUACUGGGUGUAAAGGGAGCGUAGACGGCGAUGCAAGCCAGAUGUGAAAGCCCGCGGCUCAACUGCGGGACUGCAUUUGGAACUGUAUGGCUGGGAGUGCAGGAGAGGCAGGCGGAAUUCCUAGUGUAGCGGUGAAAUGCGUAGAUAUUAGGAGGAACACCAGUGGCGAAGGCGGCCUGCUGGACUGUAACUGACGUUGAGGCUCGAAAGCGUGGGGAGCAAACAGGAUUAGAUACCC